GUGCUCGCUUCGGCAGCACAUAUACCA
RNAcentral lists this small nuclear RNA (27 nucleotides) under Cervus elaphus hippelaphus. The record is from RNAcentral. Lineage: Eukaryota; Metazoa; Chordata; Mammalia; Artiodactyla; Cervidae.